This is a long non-coding RNA of Pezoporus occidentalis (night parrot), 822 nucleotides long. RefSeq lists it as uncharacterized. Lineage: Eukaryota; Metazoa; Chordata; Aves; Psittaciformes; Psittacidae. The transcript has 3 exons. The record is from RefSeq and is a predicted model, not a curated record.
CCUAGGUGUGUUUAAAUGCACUUUGUAAAAGCAGUCUUGCUGGCAUCUCCAUUCCUGAUGUCUGUGAGAAAUCCUCCCCGGUGCUCAGAUUGCAGUCCUGGUGGUAUCUUUUUUAGCCUGAAACUGCAAGUGAUCUGUAAAGAAUCUGCUGGAUUCUUUACAUCUCACAUCUGGUCCCCAUUAAGCAAACACUUAACACUGCCCAAGCUGUAGCAGGGCAGCACCUGCACACAGGGGUACAGCUAUAGCUGUGAGGCAGCUCGGUUCCCAGCAGAACAGACCCACAGAUGGGGUGAGUUACAAUCCCAGCAGCUAUUUCUUCAUCCUCAGCUUCAGCUGGGUGUUAGAGGGUGUUUGACUUUUAAUGUCUACUGGUGUCUGGCCAAAUGAUGAAGCAGUUGAGAGAUGUGGAGUUCUUUUGUCCUUCUCAAUGUGUGCUGCGGUGCUGGCUCUUCAAAAGCAGGUAGCUGAUAAUGCAAGCAUUUUGCAGUUGUGCUGUGAUUUUCCAGGAGUCCGAAGCAGCGUUUGGAUUGACACACUACUUCUGAAAGCUUAGCUGUUAAGUUGCCCUUGGCAGUGUAUUUGCAGUGGCUGUGGCCCUGUUGGUCCAAUGUUGAUGGAUGCUGGGACUGCUGGUGUGAUUGCAGCGCCAGGUGCUUCGCAAGCAUGAGUUCUUCUGUCCUCAUCAUCCCUGUGAGGCAGGAAUGGGCCAUCGCACCUCUAUAGGUGCAACAGGUGAACUUCCCAUCAGAAUCCCAUUUUGCACAGAUGGCCACCACUACUUCAGCACUUGAGAUACUGCCUGUGCUUGCAACAUCCAAG